AGUCACUGACAUUAGAUACCCGGGUAGUCCAGGGUGUAGACGCUGCAGACUUGGUGUUGGAAGCCCUUUGGGGGCAUUCAGUGCCGGAGAGAAGUUGUUAAGUCUGCUACUUGGGAGUACGUCCGCAAGGAUGAAACUUAAAGGAAUUGGCGGGGGAGCACCGCGACGGGAGGAGCGUGCGGUUUAAUUGGAUUCAACACCGUAAACUCACCAGGGAAGACUGUUACAUGAAGGCCGAGAUGAAGACUCUGCUAGAUUUUCAG
RNAcentral lists this ribosomal RNA (263 nucleotides) under uncultured archaeon. Its description in RNAcentral is "partial 16S ribosomal RNA". It matches the Rfam family "Archaeal small subunit ribosomal RNA", at positions 719 to 982 of the family's 1478-position model. The record is from RNAcentral.